Molecule: non-coding RNA, 24 nt
Filed under: Arabidopsis thaliana (thale cress)
Lineage: Eukaryota; Viridiplantae; Streptophyta; Magnoliopsida; Brassicales; Brassicaceae
Source: RNAcentral
GUGGUCGAGUAUGGUGCUGGAUGC